AAUUCGAUGCAACGCGAAGAACCUUACCUGGGUUUGACAUAUACCGGAAAGCUGCAGAGAUGUGGCCCCCUUGUGGUCGGUAUACAGGUGGUGCAUGGCUGUCGUCAGCUCGUGUCGUGAGAUGUUGGGUUAAGUCCCGCAACGAGCGCAACCCUAUCUUAUGUUGCCAGCACGUUAUGGUGGGGACUCGUAAGAGACUGCCGGGGUCAACUCGGAGGAAGGUGGGGACGACGUCAAGUCAUCAUGCCCCUUAUGUCCAGGGCUUCACACAUGCUACAAUGGCCAGUACAGAGGGCUGCGAGACCGUGAGGUGGAGCGAAUCCCUUAAAGCUGGUCUCAGUUCGGAUCGGGGUCUGCAACUCGACCCCGUGAAGUCGGAGUCGCUAGUAAUCGCAGAUCAGCAACGCUGCGGUGAAUACGUUCCCGGGCCUU
RNAcentral lists this ribosomal RNA (432 nucleotides) under uncultured Rhodococcus sp. RNAcentral's name for it is "bacterial SSU rRNA". It matches the Rfam family "Bacterial small subunit ribosomal RNA", at positions 948 to 1382 of the family's 1533-position model. The record is from RNAcentral. Lineage: Bacteria; Bacillati; Actinomycetota; Actinomycetes; Mycobacteriales; Nocardiaceae.